This 423-nucleotide ribosomal RNA is filed under the name uncultured prokaryote. Its description in RNAcentral is "bacterial SSU rRNA". It matches the Rfam family "Bacterial small subunit ribosomal RNA", at positions 355 to 774 of the family's 1533-position model. The record is from RNAcentral.
UGAGGAAUUUUGGACAAUGGGGGAAACCCUGAUCCAGCGACGCCGCGUGGAGGACGAAGGUCUUCGGAUUGUAAACUCCUUUUGCCCGGGAAUAAUAAAUCUGUAGAAAUACAGAGAUUGAAUGUACCGGAUGAAUAAGCCACGGCUAACUACGUGUCAGCAGCCGCGGUAAUACGUAGGUGGCGAGCGUUGUCCGGAAUUACUGGGUGUAAAGGGUGAGUAGGCGGAAUGGCAAGUCAGAUGUGAAAUAUCGGGGCUUAACCCCGGGGCUGCAUUUGAAACUGCUGUUCUUGAAUGAUGGAGAGGCAGGCGGAAUUCCUAGUGUAGCGGUGAAAUGCGUAGAUAUUAGGAGGAACACCAGUGGCGAAGGCGGCCUGCUGGACAUUAACUGACGCUGAGGCACGAAAGCGUGGGGAGCAAACA